GAUCAUGGCUCAGAGUGAACGCUGGCGGCAGGCCUAAUACAUGCAAGUCGAACGGCAGCACAGCAGAGCUUGCUCUGUGGGUGGCGAGUGGCGGACGGGUGAGGAAUACAUGGGAAUCUGCCCAGUCGUGGGGGAUAACGUAGGGAAACUUACGCUAAUACCGCAUGCGCCCUUCGGGGGAAAGCCGGGGGACCUUCGGGCCUGGCGCGAUUGGAUGAGCCCAUGUCGGAUUAGCUAGUUGGCGGGGUAAUGGCCCACCAAGGCGACGAUCCGUAGCUGGUCUGAGAGGAUGAUCAGCCACACUGGAACUGAGACACGGUCCAGACUCCUACGGGAGGCAGCAGUAGGGAAUAUUGGACAAUGGGCGCAAGCCUGAUCCAGCCAUGCCGCGUGAGUGAAGAAGGCCCUCGGGUUGUAAAGCUCUUUUGUCCGGAAAGAAAAGCGCCGGGUUAAUACCCUGGUGUCCUGACGGUACCGGAAGAAUAAGCACCGGCUAACUUCGUG
Molecule: ribosomal RNA, 504 nt
Filed under: uncultured bacterium
Lineage: Bacteria
Description: bacterial SSU rRNA
Rfam family: Bacterial small subunit ribosomal RNA
Source: RNAcentral